Long non-coding RNA from Helianthus annuus (common sunflower), 239 nucleotides. RefSeq lists it as uncharacterized. NCBI's taxonomy places the organism in Eukaryota, Viridiplantae, Streptophyta, Magnoliopsida, Asterales, Asteraceae. The record is from RefSeq and is a predicted model, not a curated record. The transcript has 2 exons.
UGCUAAUACAGUGGAUAAAAGCGCUUUCAUCCAGCCCCUAUCUAUAUCUUGUAGCUGUCACUCCAAUGAAGGCCAAACAGACCCUGCUGAUGUUUUGCAGUAUGAUCUAAUGCAGGUCAAGGUUAGUACAAGUUUCUAUAGUAUGAUGUUUUGAUAGAUAACAUGAUUUUUGAUGUUGUCCUGGCACAAAUGUAGACCAUGUAAAAGAAUAAAUAAUAUAAGAGUUCUGUUGGUUCUUC